Molecule: ribosomal RNA, 1466 nt
Filed under: Candidatus Saccharimonadota bacterium
Lineage: Bacteria; Candidatus Saccharimonadota
Description: bacterial SSU rRNA
Rfam family: Bacterial small subunit ribosomal RNA
Source: RNAcentral
UUUGAGAGUUUGAUCCUGGCUCAGGAUGAACGCUGGCGGCGUGCCUAAUACAUGCAAGUCGCGCGGAAACACUUCGGGUGUCGAGCGGCGGACGGGUGAGUAACGCGUAGGAAUGUACCCCAAAGUGAGGGAUAACCAUCCGAAAGGAUGGCUAAUACCGCAUGUGGUCUAAGGAUUAAAGCCUUCGGGCGCUUUGGGAGCAGCCUGCGUCGGAUUAGCUUGUUGGUGAGGUAACGGCUUACCAAGGCGACGAUCCGUAGCUGGUUUGAGAGGAUGAUCAGCCACACUGGGACUGAGACACGGCCCAGACUCCUACGGGAGGCAGCAGUAAGGAAUUUUCCGCAAUGGGCGAAAGCCUGACGGAGCAACGCCGCGUGCAGGACGAAGGUCUUCGGAUUGUAAACUGCUUUUGUGAACGAGGAAUAUGACAGUAAUUCACGAAUAAGGGCCUGCUAACUACGUGCCAGCAGCAGCGGUCAUACGUAGGGCCCGAGCGUUAUCCGGAUUUACUGGGCGUAAAGAGUUGCGUAGGCGGUCGUUUAAGCAAUCCAUGAAAGCGUGUGGCUCAACCAUACAAUUGUGGGUUGAACUGAACGACUAGAGUAUAGGAGAGGUCGCCGGAAUUUCUAGUGGAGGAGUGAAAUCCGUAGAUAUUAGAAGGAACACCGAUGGCGUAGGCAGGUGACUGGCCUAUUACUGACGCUAAGGCACGAAAGCGUGGGGAGCGAACGGGAUUAGAUACCCCGGUAGUCCACGCCGUAAACGAUGGAUGCUAGCUGUAUGAGGUUCUAUCCCUUGUGUAGCGCAGCUAACGCAUUAAGCAUCCCGCCUGUGGAGUACGAGCGCAAGCUUAAAACAUAAAGGAAUUGACGGGGACCCGCACAAGCGGUGGAGCGUGUUGUUUAAUUCGAUGGUAAGCGAAGAACCUUACCAGGGUUUGACAUCCUACCAAGUUUUGGGAAACCAAAAUGUGCCUCCGGGCCGUAGUGACAGGUGAUGCAUGGCCGUCGUCAGCUCGUGUCGUGAGAUGUUGGGUUAAGUCCCGCAACGAGCGCAACCCCUAUAUUUAGUUAUAUUUCUCUAGAUAGACUGCCCUGGCAACAGGGAGGAAGGAGGGGACGAUGUCAGGUCAUUAUUUCCCUUACACCCUGGGCUACAAACACGCUACAAUGGCCGGUACAAAGGGCAGCGAACCCGCGAGGGCAAGCAAAUCUCAUCAAAGCCGGUCCCAGUUCGGAUUGCAGGCUGAAACUCGCCUGCAUGAAGCCGGAAUCGCUAGUAACGGUAAGUCAGCACAUUACCGUGAAUAAGUUCCCGGGUCUUGUACACACCGCCCGUCAAGCCACGGAAGUCAGGGGCACCCGAAGUGCGUCCAUCAAGGACGCCCUAAGGUGAAUUUGGUAACUGGGGUUAAGUCGUAACAAGGUAUCCGUAGCGGAAGCUGCGGAUGGAUUACCUCCUUUCUA